GGGAGUAUAGUAUAACUUGGUAGUAUCGUGGGCUCCAAACCCGCUGGUCGGGGUUCAAAUCCCUGUGCUCCCA
This 73-nucleotide transfer RNA is filed under the name Methanobacteriota archaeon. RNAcentral's name for it is "Euryarchaeota archaeon (marine metagenome) tRNA-Trp". It matches the Rfam family "tRNA". From Rfam's summary of the family: Transfer RNA (tRNA) molecules are approximately 80 nucleotides in length. Lineage: Archaea; Methanobacteriati; Methanobacteriota. RNAcentral also lists the same sequence under 1 other name. The record is from RNAcentral.